UGGAUAUAUUUAUGAUAUAAUUAUUGGAUGUGUAUGGGUUAAAGCUUGGUGAAUAUGUGAAUAAAAUACAUUUCAUAAAUAGAUGCUGCUGCCAGUAAAAAAAAAAACAUUUAAAAAAAAAUAUUCUUCAACAGAAGUCUACCUGAUAUUCUCAUUGAAACGGACACAUGUGGUUUUGACAGUUUAUAUACCUGCUUUCAUUCUUAUGUGCCUGUCCCAAGUCAGGAGCCUGUCCCAAGUCAGGUCUUAUGUGCCUGUCCCAAGUCAGGUCUUAUGUGCCUGUCCCAAGUCAGGAGCCUGUCCCAAGUCAGGAGCCUGUCCCAAGUCAGGUCUUAUGUGCCUGUCCCAAGUCAGGAGCCUGUCCCAAGUCAGGAGCCUGUCCCAAGUCAGCAGCCUGUAAAUCAGUGCUUGUUUGUUGCUCUAUAUCAUAUUUGUUUUUCAUUCAUUGUUUUGUACAAAAAUCCGGCUGUUAGUUUUCUAACGGAAUUGAAUUGUUUUACAUUUGUCAUUUCAGGGCUUUUACAGCUGACUAUGUGGUAGGGUUUGGCUCACUGUUGAAGGCUGAUCGAUGGCCUAAAGUUUUCAAUUUCUAUGUCAUUUGGUCUCAGGUGGAGAGUUGUCUCAUUGGUAAUCAUAACACUGAAAUUGAGGACAUCAAUAAGCAACAAGUUUAUGUCCCUACAGACUAAAGUUCCCACAAUGUGUUUAAAUAAAAUUUACUUAUAAAAAAUAAGGAGAUGAGGUAUGAUUGCCAAUGAGACAACUAUCCACCAAAGUUCAAAUAAAGUGGAUGUAAGCAAUUAUAGGCAACCAUACAGCCUUCAAAAAUGAGAAAAA
Long non-coding RNA from Mytilus californianus (California mussel), 837 nucleotides. RefSeq lists it as uncharacterized. The record is from RefSeq and is a predicted model, not a curated record. Lineage: Eukaryota; Metazoa; Mollusca; Bivalvia; Mytilida; Mytilidae. The transcript is spliced from 2 exons.